UUUUUCAAAUAAAAAAUAGUUAUUUCAAAUUGUAAUAUGCAGGGCAUCUCUGUUUAGGUUACGAGGGCACUUUUUUGAACAUAAAGGAGUGGUUAUGAUAUCGAAAUUAAUGGGAAGUGUGACAAUGCAGUCAGAAAUAGAAAGUGUUCAGUUGUAUCAGGACAAUUAUAACAGUUGCAUCGGGGGGUGGAGAUUAAAGACAGUAUAUUAAGCUUGCAUUACUUAUGUUAGGUUACUUCUCAGUAGUCACUUUUCUGGCAUUAGGUUUGGUAGCAAAAAAACUUAAAAAGAUGUUUCAGUUUAUUAUAUUUAUUGGAUUGGCUUUACUGAUUGGUAGAUCAAUACCAACAGCUGCAGAAACAUCUAUCGCUCCAUCAACAAGAACAACAGCCCCUGAACUAACAUGUAUAAUAGCUACAGCAGCAUCUAUAGUUCGAUUAACAAAAAAUCCUGCAUCAACAUGUAUAUCAGCUACAGCAACAUCUACAGCUCGAUCAUCAACCACAACCCCUGCCCCACAGUCUACAUCUCGCUCAGCAGUCACUGAACCAACAUCUACAACUCAAUCAAGACCACCUGCACCAACUUUAAGUUCAACUGUGCUAACAUCAACCACUCUGUUAUCAACUGCAUCAACAUCGAUAUCAGCUGCAGUAACAUCUACUUCUCAAAAGACAGCUCAACUUACAUAUACAACUCAACCAGCUUCUGUCCCACAAAAUAUGACAGCAUUAGCUUCUGCAACUUUCAAAUUGAGAUGCUUUGCUGAGCUGAGCAAUGAUGAAAUCAUUACGUAUAUUGAAAAGUUUGUCAAGCACUUUCAAUCAAGCAUUAGUGGGACCAUCAAGAUUACUGUGAGGAAAUCAAGAAAACUGUUGGCAUAAGGAUCUGAUGGAAAACUUGUGACUUUCCUCUGUAUACUUGCAGUUUUACUGUUGUAAUUAAACAAUACUAUACAUUGAACACAUAUUAUUGUUGCACCUUUCCUAUACAAAGUAAAAAAUAAAAAUAAAAAAAAAUACUCUGAAACA
This is a long non-coding RNA of Cyprinus carpio (common carp), 1031 nucleotides long. The record is from Ensembl. Lineage: Eukaryota; Metazoa; Chordata; Actinopteri; Cypriniformes; Cyprinidae.